Molecule: ribosomal RNA, 467 nt
Filed under: uncultured bacterium
Lineage: Bacteria
Description: bacterial SSU rRNA
Rfam family: Bacterial small subunit ribosomal RNA
Source: RNAcentral
UUCCAGACUCCUACGGGAGGCAGCAGUGAGGAAUAUUGGUCAAUGGGCGGAAGCCUGAACCAGCCAAGUCGCGUGAGGGAAUAAGGCCCUACGGGUCGUAAACCUCUUUUGCCGGGGAGCAAGGGCGGGGACGUGUCCCGGCCCGGAGAGUACCCGGAGAAAAAGCAUCGGCUAACUCCGUGCCAGCAGCCGCGGUAAUACGGAGGAUGCGAGCGUUAUCCGGAUUUAUUGGGUUUAAAGGGUGCGCAGGCGGCCUGUUAAGUCAGCGGUAAAAGCCCAGGGCUCAACCCCGGCGAGCCGUUGAAACUGGCGGGCUGGAGUUGGAGAGAAGUAUGCGGAAUGCGCGGUGUAGCGGUGAAAUGCAUAGAUAUCGCGCAGAACUCCGAUUGCGAAGGCAGCAUGCCGGCUCCACACUGACGCUGAGGCACGAAAGCGUGGGUAUCGAACAGGAUUAGAUACCCUAGUAA